ACAGCAGUCGCCGCGGGAAUACAGAGGGUGCGAGCGUUAAUCGGAUUUACUGGGCGUAAAGCGUGCGUAGGCGGCUUUUUAAGUCGGAUGUGAAAUCCCUGAGCUUAACUUAGGAAUUGCAUUCGAUACUGGGAAGCUAGAGUAUGGGAGAGGAUGGUAGAAUUCCAGGUGUAGCGGUGAAAUGCGUAGAGAUCUGGAGGAAUACCGAUGGCGAAGGCAGCCAUUUGGCCUAAUACUGACGCUGAGGUACGAAAGCAUGGGGAGCAAACAGGAUUAGAUACCCCUGUAGUCCCUGUCUCUUAUAC
Molecule: ribosomal RNA, 305 nt
Filed under: uncultured bacterium
Lineage: Bacteria
Description: partial 16S ribosomal RNA
Rfam family: Bacterial small subunit ribosomal RNA
Source: RNAcentral